RNAcentral lists this ribosomal RNA (245 nucleotides) under uncultured bacterium. RNAcentral's name for it is "partial 16S ribosomal RNA". It matches the Rfam family "Bacterial small subunit ribosomal RNA", at positions 524 to 770 of the family's 1533-position model. The record is from RNAcentral.
UACGGAGGGUGCAAGCGUUGUCCGGAAUCACUGGGCGUAAAGGGCGCGUAGGCGGCUCAUGAAGGCUGUGGUGAAAGUCCGGGCUCAACCUCGGAUCGGCCGUGGCGACUCGUGGGCUGGAGCACUGUAGAGGCGGGUGGAAUUCCGGGUGUAGCGGUGGAAUGCGUAGAGAUCCGGAAGAACACCAGUGGCGAAGGCGGCCCGCUGGGCAGUGGCUGACGCUGAGGCGCGACAGCGUGGGAGCA